UAUGGCUUUGUUUUUCUCCCUCUGGC
RNAcentral lists this non-coding RNA (26 nucleotides) under Rattus norvegicus (Norway rat). The record is from RNAcentral. Lineage: Eukaryota; Metazoa; Chordata; Mammalia; Rodentia; Muridae.